Molecule: small RNA, 101 nt
Filed under: uncultured Devosia sp.
Lineage: Bacteria; Pseudomonadati; Pseudomonadota; Alphaproteobacteria; Hyphomicrobiales; Devosiaceae
Description: Rhizobiales sRNA Atu_C8
Rfam family: Rhizobiales sRNA Atu_C8
Source: RNAcentral
UCAUUCUCGUAGUAGGCUGGCGCAUCGGCAACGUGGGGUAGAACCCUGCGCGAAUGCUGGUGCGCCGAAAACAGGUCCCAAACGGGGCCUUUUUUAUUGCC